AACGAACGCUGGCGGCAUGCCUAACACAUGCAAGUCGAACGAGACCUUCGGGUCUAGUGGCGCUCGGGUGCGUAACGUGUGGGAAGCUGCCCUUAGGUUCGGAAUAACUCCCCGAAAGGGGGGCUAAUACCGGAUAAUGUCUUCUGACCAAAGAUUUAUCGCCUUUGUAUGGGCCAGCGUUGUAUUAGCUAGUUGGUAGGGUAAAAGCCUACCAAGGCGACGAUCGUUAGCUGGGCUGAGAGGAUGAUCAGCCACACUGGGACUGAGACACGGCGCAGACUCCUACGGGAUGCAGCAGUGGGGAAUAUUGGACAAUCGGGGGAAGCCUGAUCCAGCUAGGCCGCGAGAGUGAUGAAGGCCGUAGGGAUGUAAAGCUCUUUUACCCGGGAUGAUAAUGACAGUACCGGGAGAAUAAGCACCGGCUAACUCCGUG
RNAcentral lists this ribosomal RNA (433 nucleotides) under uncultured bacterium. RNAcentral's name for it is "partial 16S ribosomal RNA". It matches the Rfam family "Bacterial small subunit ribosomal RNA", at positions 29 to 507 of the family's 1533-position model. The record is from RNAcentral.